Molecule: ribosomal RNA, 732 nt
Filed under: uncultured Streptococcus sp.
Lineage: Bacteria; Bacillati; Bacillota; Bacilli; Lactobacillales; Streptococcaceae
Description: bacterial SSU rRNA
Rfam family: Bacterial small subunit ribosomal RNA
Source: RNAcentral
UAGAACGCUGAAGGAGGAGCUUGCUUCUCUGGAUGAGUUGCGAACGGGUGAGUAACGCGUAGGUAACCUGCCUGGUAGCGGGGGAUAACUAUUGGAAACGAUAGCUAAUACCGCAUAAGAGUAGAUGUUGCAUGACAUUUGCUUAAAAGGUGCAAUUGCAUCACUACCAGAUGGGCCUGCGUUGUAUUAGCUAGUUGGUGAGGUAACGGCUCACCAAGGCGACGAUACAUAGCCGACCUGAGAGGGUGAUCGGCCACACUGGGACUGAGACACGGCCCAGACUCCUACGGGAGGCAGCAGUAGGGAAUCUUCGGCAAUGGACGGAAGUCUGACCGAGCAACGCCGCGUGAGUGAAGAAGGUUUUCGGAUCGUAAAGCUCUGUUGUAAGAGAAGAACGAGUGUGAGAGUGGAAAGUUCACACUGUGACGGUAUCUUACCAGAAAGGGACGGCUAACUACGUGCCAGCAGCCGCGGUAAUACGUAGGUCCCGAGCGUUGUCCGGAUUUAUUGGGCGUAAAGCGAGCGCAGGCGGUUAGAUAAGUCUGAAGUUAAAGGCUGUGGCUUAACCAUAGUACGCUUUGGAAACUGUUUAACUUGAGUGCAAGAGGGGAGAGUGGAAUUCCAUGUGUAGCGGUGAAAUGCGUAGAUAUAUGGAGGAACACCGGUGGCGAAAGCGGCUCCCUGGCUUGUAACUGACGCUGAGGCUCGAAAGCGUGGGGAGCAAACAGGAUU